This 497-nucleotide ribosomal RNA is filed under the name uncultured bacterium. RNAcentral describes it as "partial 16S ribosomal RNA". It matches the Rfam family "Bacterial small subunit ribosomal RNA", at positions 28 to 507 of the family's 1533-position model. The record is from RNAcentral.
GACGAACGCUGGCGGCGUGCCUAAUACAUGCAAGUUGAGCGAUGAAGAUUGGUGCUUGCACCAAUUUGAAGAGCAGCGAACGGGUGAGUAACGCGUGGGGAAUCUGCCUUUGAGCGGGGGACAACAUUUGGAAACGAAUGCUAAUACCGCAUAAUAACUUUAAACAUAAGUUUUAAGUUUGAAAGAUGCAAUUGCAUCACUCAAAGAUGAUCCCGCGUUGUAUUAGCUAGUUGGUGAGGUAAAGGCUCACCAAGGCGAUGAUACAUAGCCGACCUGAGAGGGUGAUCGGCCACAUUGGGACUGAGACACGGCCCAAACUCCUACGGGAGGCAGCAGUAGGGAAGCUUCGGCAAUGGACGAAAGUCUGACCGAGCAACGCCGCGUGAGUGAAGAAGGGUUUCGGAUCGUAAAACUCUGUUGGUAGAGAAGAACGUUGGUGAGAGUGGAAAGCUCAUCAAGUGACGGUAACUACCCAGAAAGGGACGGCUAACUACGUG